UACGUAGGGGGCAAGCGUUGUCCGGAAUCAUUGGGCGUAAAGAGCGCGUAGGCGGCCCGAUAAGUCCGCUGUGAAAGUCAAGGGCUCAACCCUUGAAUGCCGGUGGAUACUGUCGGGCUAGAGUCCGGAAGAGGCGAGUGGAAUUCCUGGUGUAGCGGUGAAAUGCGCAGAUAUCGAGAGGAACACCUGCGGCGAAGGCGGGUUGCUGGGCUGAUACUGACGCUGAGGCGCGAAAGCCAGGGGAGCGAACGGG
This 253-nucleotide ribosomal RNA is filed under the name uncultured bacterium. RNAcentral describes it as "partial 16S ribosomal RNA". It matches the Rfam family "Bacterial small subunit ribosomal RNA", at positions 524 to 776 of the family's 1533-position model. The record is from RNAcentral.